GAUUGUGCCAGCCGCCGCGGUGACACGUAGGCACCAAGCGUUAUCCGGAUUUAUUGGGCGUAAAGAGCUCGUAGGCGGUUCGGUAAGUCGGGUGUGAAAACUCUGGGCUCAACCCAGAGACGCCACCCGAUACUGCUGUGACUAGAGUGCGGUAGGGGAGCGGGGAAUUCAUGGUGUAGCGGUGAAAUGCGCAGAUAUCAUGAGGAACACCAGCGGCGAAGGCGCCGCUUUGGGCCGUAACUGACGCUGAGGAGCGAAAGCAUGGGUAGCAAACAGGAUUAGAUACCCUGGUAGUCCAUGCCGUAAACGUUGGGCACUAGGUGUGGGUCUCAACCAACGAGAUCCGCGCCGUCGCUAACGCAUUAAGUGCCCCGCCUGGGGAGUACGGUCGC
RNAcentral lists this ribosomal RNA (392 nucleotides) under uncultured bacterium. RNAcentral describes it as "bacterial SSU rRNA". It matches the Rfam family "Bacterial small subunit ribosomal RNA", at positions 499 to 889 of the family's 1533-position model. The record is from RNAcentral.